This 2111-nucleotide ribosomal RNA is filed under the name Salmonella enterica. RNAcentral's name for it is "partial 23S ribosomal RNA". It matches the Rfam family "Bacterial large subunit ribosomal RNA", at positions 711 to 2802 of the family's 2925-position model. RNAcentral also lists the same sequence under 1 other name. Lineage: Bacteria; Pseudomonadati; Pseudomonadota; Gammaproteobacteria; Enterobacterales; Enterobacteriaceae. The record is from RNAcentral.
AGACCCGAAACCCGGUGAUCUAGCCAUGGGCAGGUUGAAGGUUGGGUAACACUAACUGGAGGACCGAACCGACUAAUGUUGAAAAAUUAGCGGAUGACCUGUGGCUGGGGGUGAAAGGCCAAUCAAACCGGGAGAUAGCUGGUUCUCCCCGAAAGCUAUUUAGGUAGCGCCUCGUGAAUUCAUCUCCGGGGGUAGAGCACUGUUUCGGCUAGGGGGCCAUCCCGGCUUACCAACCCGAUGCAAACUGCGAAUACCGGAGAAUGUUAUCACGGGAGACACACGGCGGGUGCUAACGUCCGUCGUGAAGAGGGAAACAACCCAGACCGCCAGCUAAGGUCCCAAAGUCAUGGUUAAGUGGGAAACGAUGUGGGAAGGCCCAGACAGCCAGGAUGUUGGCUUAGAAGCAGCCAUCAUUUAAAGAAAGCGUAAUAGCUCACUGGUCGAGUCGGCCUGCGCGGAAGAUGUAACGGGGCUAAACCAUGCACCGAAGCUGCGGCAGCGACGCUGAUGCGUUGUUGGGUAGGGGAGCGUUCUGUAAGCCUGUGAAGGUGGCCUGUGAGGGUUGCUGGAGGUAUCAGAAGUGCGAAUGCUGACAUAAGUAACGAUAAAGCGGGUGAAAAGCCCGCUCGCCGGAAGACCAAGGGUUCCUGUCCAACGUUAAUCGGGGCAGGGUGAGUCGACCCCUAAGGCGAGGCCGAAAGGCGUAGUCGAUGGGAAACGGGUUAAUAUUCCCGUACUUGGUGUUACUGCGAAGGGGGGACGGAGAAGGCUAUGUUGGCCGGGCGACGGUUGUCCCGGUUUAAGCGUGUAGGUGUGUGUUCCAGGUAAAUCCGGUUCACUUUAACACUGAGGCGUGACGACGAGGCACUACGGUGCUGAAGCAACAAAUGCCCUGCUUCCAGGAAAAGCCUCUAAGCAUCAGGUAACAUCAAAUCGUACCCCAAACCGACACAGGUGGUCAGGUAGAGAAUACCAAGGCGCUUGAGAGAACUCGGGUGAAGGAACUAGGCAAAAUGGUGCCGUAACUUCGGGAGAAGGCACGCUGACACGUAGGUGAAGUGAUUUACUCAUGGAGCUGAAGUCAGUCGAAGAUACCAGCUGGCUGCAACUGUUUAUUAAAAACACAGCACUGUGCAAACACGAAAGUGGACGUAUACGGUGUGACGCCUGCCCGGUGCCGGAAGGUUAAUUGAUGGGGUCAGCGCAAGCGAAGCUCCUGAUCGAAGCCCCGGUAAACGGCGGCCGUAACUAUAACGGUCCUAAGGUAGCGAAAUUCCUUGUCGGGUAAGUUCCGACCUGCACGAAUGGCGUAAUGAUGGCCAGGCUGUCUCCACCCGAGACUCAGUGAAAUUGAACUCGCUGUGAAGAUGCAGUGUACCCGCGGCAAGACGGAAAGACCCCGUGAACCUUUACUAUAGCUUGACACUGAACAUUGAGCCUUGAUGUGUAGGAUAGGUGGGAGGCUUUGAAGUGUGGACGCCAGUCUGCAUGGAGCCGACCUUGAAAUACCACCCUUUAAUGUUUGAUGUUCUAACGUGGACCCGUUACCCGGGUUGCGGACAGUGUCUGGUGGGUAGUUUGACUGGGGCGGUCUCCUCCUAAAGAGUAACGGAGGAGCACGAAGGUUGGCUAAUCCUGGUCGGACAUCAGGAGGUUAGUGCAAUGGCAUAAGCCAGCUUGACUGCGAGCGUGACGGCGCGAGCAGGUGCGAAAGCAGGUCAUAGUGAUCCGGUGGUUCUGAAUGGAAGGGCCAUCGCUCAACGGAUAAAAGGUACUCCGGGGAUAACAGGCUGAUACCGCCCAAGAGUUCAUAUCGACGGCGGUGUUUGGCACCUCGAUGUCGGCUCAUCACAUCCUGGGGCUGAAGUAGGUCCCAAGGGUAUGGCUGUUCGCCAUUUAAAGUGGUACGCGAGCUGGGUUUAGAACGUCGUGAGACAGUUCGGUCCCUAUCUGCCGUGGGCGCUGGAGAACUGAGGGGGGCUGCUCCUAGUACGAGAGGACCGGAGUGGACGCAUCACUGGUGUUCGGGUUGUCAUGCCAAUGGCACUGCCCGGUAGCUAAAUGCGGAAGAGAUAAGUGCUGAAAGCAUCUAAGCACGAAACUUGCCCCGA